Molecule: ribosomal RNA, 538 nt
Filed under: uncultured bacterium
Lineage: Bacteria
Description: bacterial SSU rRNA
Rfam family: Bacterial small subunit ribosomal RNA
Source: RNAcentral
GCCUAAGACAUGCAAGUCGAACGAGGUGGCCCAUUGACAUUAUUGAAGGUUGCGUGCUUGCACAAAAACCGGAUUAUUAGAUUUGGAUUUCCACCUAGUGGCGAAAGGGUGAGUAACACGUAGGAAUCUGCCUUCGAGACUGGGACAACAGUUGGAAACGACUGCUAAUACCGGAUUAUAUGCUAAAUGAUACGUUAUUUAGUAUUAAAAGGGAGCCUUUAAAGCUUCGCUUGAAGAUGAGCCUGCGGCGUAUUAGCUUGUUGGUGAGGUAACGGCUUACCAAGGCGACGAUGCGUAGCCGACCUGAGAGGGUGAUCGGCCACAUUGGGACUGAGACACGGCCAAACUCCUAUGGGAGACAGCAGUUAGGAAUAUUCGACAAUGGGGGAAACCCUGAUCGAGCAAUGCCGCCGUGAGUGAUGACGGUCCUUUGGAUUGUAAAACUCUUUUAUUAGGGAAGAACGACUAGUAUAGGAAAUGAUACUAGAGUGACGGUACCUUUUGAAUAAGCCCCGGCUAACUACGUGCCAGCCGCGGC